This 382-nucleotide ribosomal RNA is filed under the name uncultured bacterium. RNAcentral's name for it is "bacterial SSU rRNA". It matches the Rfam family "Bacterial small subunit ribosomal RNA", at positions 29 to 399 of the family's 1533-position model. The record is from RNAcentral.
AACGAACGCUGGCGGCGUGCCUAACACAUGCAAGUCGUGCGAGAAAGUUCCUUCGGGAGCGAGUAAAGCGGCGCACGGGUGAGUAACACGUAGGUAACCUGCCCCCCAGUCUGGAACAACUAGAGGAAACUCUAGCUAAUGCCGGAUGAGACCACGAUCCCUUCGGGGGUUGCGGCCAAAGAUGGCCUCUACUUGUAAGCUAUCGCUGAGGGAUGGGCCUGCGGCAUUAGCUUGUUGGUGAGGUAACGGCUCACCAAGGCUGUGAUGGCUAGCUGGUCUGAGAGGAUGACCAGCCACACUGGACUGAGACACGGCCCAGACUCUACGGAGCAGCAGUGGGGAAUAUUGCGCAAUGGGCGAAAGCCUAGACGCAGCGACGCCG